RNAcentral lists this ribosomal RNA (404 nucleotides) under uncultured prokaryote. Its description in RNAcentral is "bacterial SSU rRNA". It matches the Rfam family "Bacterial small subunit ribosomal RNA", at positions 355 to 776 of the family's 1533-position model. The record is from RNAcentral. RNAcentral also lists the same sequence under 1 other name.
UGGGGAAUAUUGCACAAUGGGCGAAAGCCUGAUGCAGCGACGCCGCGUGAGGGAAGAAGGUUUUCGGAUUGUAAACCUCUGUCUUCGGGGACGAUAAUGACGGUACCCGAGGAGGAAGCCACGGCUAACUACGUGCCAGCAGCCGCGGUAAAACGUAGGUGGCAAGCGUUGUCCGGAAUUACUGGGUGUAAAGGGAGCGCAGGCGGAAUGGCAAGUUGGACGUGAAAUCUAUGGGCUUAACCCAUAGCGUGCGUUCAAAACUGCUGUUCUUGAGUGAUGUAGAGGUAGGCGGAAUUCCCGGUGUAGCGGUGGAAUGCGUAGAUAUCGGGAGGAACACCAGUGGCGAAGGCGGCCUACUGGGCAUCAACUGACGCUGAGGCUCGAAAGUAUGGGGAGCAAACAGG